CAAUGAAUUGCUUAGGGCCUCACUAAGUUGCCCAGGCUGGCUUUGAACUUGCGAUUCUCCUGCCUCAGCCUCCCCAGCUGCUGGGAUGGCAGGCGUGCGCCACUGCGCUGGGCUGAAUUGGUAUUUUUGUAACGGAUGCUGUGGUGAGGUCCACAGUUGUUUUAUGUUUAUUAGUCAUUUAUAUUUUCUCUUUCUUGAGUCAUCUGCAUCCUUUGCUAUUUUUUUCCCUUUAUCUUAUUGAUUUGUUAGGAUGGCGACACUUUAUUCUGUUUGUUGUAUUUAUUUUUAGCUUUAAAACAUCACCAGGGUCUUGGGGCUGUGGCUCAGUGUUAGAGCACUCGCCUCACAUGUGUGAGGCCCUGGGUUUGAUCCUCAGCACCACAUAAAAAAUAAAUAAAGGUAUUGAUUGUGUUCAUUUGCAAUUAAACAGACAAACACCAUCAGACACACGUGCUCCCUUCCAGCCCACCCUCUCCAUUCCCAUGGCCUCAGUCCACCCUGGAGCUGACCCAUUUCUGGAUCAACAAUUGGCUUAUUUCGUGAAGUUCUUUAUUAAGCACGUGUGUGUCCAGCUCUAUAUUGGACUUCUUUCCCAGUCCUCCUCUUGUUCAAUCUGCGACGAGACCCGAGUAACUCAUCCCGUUGUGCAGCUAGAGUUCUGGUUCCCAGCCCUUGCUCAAGUCAGGGGCGGCUGCUGGAGCCAACUGUGGGUGUGGGGAGCCUCUCUGCCAUUUCCAGUGAUGGGGGAGAGACUGUCAAACCCUCUAGGAAAUGCG
This 776-nucleotide long non-coding RNA is filed under the name Marmota monax (woodchuck). The stretch from base 313 to 381 matches the Rfam family "tRNA". The record is from RNAcentral. Lineage: Eukaryota; Metazoa; Chordata; Mammalia; Rodentia; Sciuridae.